GUGGUGUUUAAAUGUCAUUUUGGUUUGUUUGUCUUUCGGGGCAUUCAGGUCAACUUGGCUUUUACUCACUGUUGUCAUUGUCUUUGCCCAAGGUAUAUGCCUUGUGUGCAUGGCAUUGACCUUCUAUUUUAUGGUAAUGUUGUAUCUUUCGGGGUACAUUCAUUCCAUAUAGUUUACUUUGAAAAAAUUAGGGUGUUUAAAGCAGGCGAAAAGGCUUCGGAAUAUAUUAGCAUGGGAUAAUAGAAUACGAUCUAGGUCGUAAUUUGUUGGUUUCUACGGCUUAGGUAAUGAUUGACAGGGAUAGUUGGGGUCGCUCGUAUUGAGUUGUCAGAGGUGAAAUUCUAGGAUUAACUCAAGACGAACUAAUGCGAAAGCAUUCGGCAAGGAUGUUUUCAUUAAUCAAGAACGAAAGUUGGGGGAUCGAAGAUGAUCAGAUACCGUCGUAGUCUCAACUGUAAACUAUGUCGACCGAGGAUCCGGUAGCGUUACAUGGAUGACCUUCCGGGCACUCUGUGAGAAAUCAUAAGUAUUUGGAUUUCGGGGGGAGUAUGGUCGCAAGGCUGAAACUUAAAGGGAUUGACGGAAGGGCACCACCAGGAGUGGAAUCUGCGGCUUAAUUUGACCCAACACGGGAAAACUUACCAGGUCCGGACACAGUGAGGAUUGACAGAUUGAGAGCUCUUUCUUGAUUUUGUGGGUGGUGGUGCAUGGCCGUUUUUAGUUGGUGGAGUGAUUUGUCUGGUUAAUUCCGUUAACGAACGAGACCUUAACCUAUUAAAUAGCUGCGCGAACCCAGGUUCUUUAACCAUUCUCUCCUUCGGGGGGGCGUGGUAUCAUUAUUUUGCUUUUCACUUUCGGGUGGGAGGUAGGGUAGUGAUAGGGCCUGAGAUGAGUUGGUGAUUUGGCUUCUUAGAGGGACUACUUGCAUCCUUAGCAAGGGGAGGUUUGAGGCAAAAACAGGUCUGUGAUGCCCUUCGAUGUUCUGGGCUGCACGCGCGUUACACUGGCGCAUGCAAAGAGUUUAAAAUUCCUGUCCCGAUGGGGUUGGGAAAUCUUUUUAAAGUGCGUCGUGAUGGGGAUAGAGCAUUGAAAUUAUUGCUCUUGAACGAGGAAUUCCUAGUAAUUGCAGGUCAUCAACCUGCAAUGAUUACGUCCCUGCCCUUUGUACACACCGCCCGUCGCUCCUACCGAUGGUUGAACCGAUGAGGACUCGGGAUGAUCUUAUUAGAUCGGUCGGUCGAAAGAUCGAUAGACUAUUAGGUCAGAACUUGUUCAAAUCUU
Molecule: ribosomal RNA, 1281 nt
Filed under: metagenome
Description: SSU rRNA
Rfam family: Eukaryotic small subunit ribosomal RNA
Source: RNAcentral